Molecule: non-coding RNA, 22 nt
Filed under: Arabidopsis thaliana (thale cress)
Lineage: Eukaryota; Viridiplantae; Streptophyta; Magnoliopsida; Brassicales; Brassicaceae
Source: RNAcentral
UAGAUUCUCAGGUGUUCUUUAG